AGCAGCCGCGGUAAUUCCAGCUCCAAUAGCGUAUAUUAAAGUUGUUGCAGUUAAAAAGCUCGUAGUUGAAUUUCGGGAUCAAUAUAUCGGUCGUGCCUUGGUACGUACUGGUAUCAUUGGUUUCUCCUUUCUGACGAACCAUGAUGUCAUUAAUUUGGUGUUAUGGGAAGUUAGGACUGUUACUUUGAAAAAAUUAGAGUGUUUAAAGCAGGCUUUAGCUUGAAUACAUUAGCAUGGAAUAAUGAAAUAGGACGUUCGAACCUAUUUUGUUGGUUUCUAGGAUCAACGUAAUGAUUAAUAGGGAUAGUUGGGGGCAUUAGUAUUCAAUUGUCAGAGGUGAAAUUCUUGGAUUUAUUGAAGACUAACUACUGCGAAAGCAUUUGCCAAGGAUGUUUUCAUUAAUCAAGACGAAAGUUAGGGGAUCGAAGACGAUCAGAUACCGUCGUAGUCUUAACCAUAAACUAUGCCGACUAGGGAUCGGAUGAUGUUAAUUUUUUAAUGUACUCAUUCGGCGCCUUAC
This 520-nucleotide ribosomal RNA is filed under the name uncultured Glomus. RNAcentral describes it as "SSU rRNA". It matches the Rfam family "Eukaryotic small subunit ribosomal RNA", at positions 569 to 1091 of the family's 1831-position model. The record is from RNAcentral. Lineage: Eukaryota; Fungi; Glomeromycota; Glomeromycetes; Glomerales; Glomeraceae.